UACGUAGGGCGCAAGCGUUGUCCGGAAUUAUUGGGCGUAAAGAGCUCGUAGGCGGCCUGUCGCGUCUGCUGUGAAAUCCCGGGGCUUAACCCCGGGCGUGCAGUGGAUACGGGCUGGCUGGAGGCAGGCAGGGGAGAACGGAAUUCCCGGUGUAGCGGUGAAAUGCGCAGAUAUCGGGAGGAACACCGGUGGCGAAGGCGGUUCUCUGGGCCAUUACUGACGCUGAGGAGCGAAAGCGUGGGGAGCGAACAGG
Molecule: ribosomal RNA, 253 nt
Filed under: uncultured bacterium
Lineage: Bacteria
Description: partial 16S ribosomal RNA
Rfam family: Bacterial small subunit ribosomal RNA
Source: RNAcentral